UACGGAGGGUGCGAGCGUUGUCCGGAAUCAUUGGGCGUAAAGGGCGCGUAGGUGGCGGGACAAGCGUGCGGUGAAAGCCUGGGGCUCAACCCCGGGUCGGCCGUGCGAACUGUUUUGCUUGAGCACUGUAGAGGCAGGCGGAAUUCCGGGUGUAGUGGUGGAAUGCGUAGAGAUCCGGAAGAACACCGGUGGCGAAGGCGGCCUGCUGGGCAGUAGCUGACACUGAGGCGCGACAGCGUGGGGAGCAAACAGG
RNAcentral lists this ribosomal RNA (253 nucleotides) under uncultured bacterium. RNAcentral describes it as "partial 16S ribosomal RNA". It matches the Rfam family "Bacterial small subunit ribosomal RNA", at positions 524 to 776 of the family's 1533-position model. The record is from RNAcentral.